UUCGACACACUAUCAUUAACUGAAUCCAUAGGUUAAUGAGGCGAACCGGGGGAACUGAAACAUCUAAGUACCCCGAGGAAAAGAAAUCAACCGAGAUUCCCCCAGUAGCGGCGAGCGAACGGGGAGCAGCCCAGAGCCUGAAUCAGUGUGUGUGUUAGUGGAAGCGUCUGGAAAGGCGCGCGAUACAGGGUGACAGCCCCGUACACAAAAAUGCACAUGCUGUGAGCUCGAUGAGUAGGGCGGGACACGUGGUAUCCUGUCUGAAUAUGGGGGGACCAUCCUCCAAGGCUAAAUACUCCUGACUGACCGAUAGUGAACCAGUACCGUGAGGGAAAGGCGAAAAGAACCCCGGCGAGGGGAGUGAAAAAGAACCUGAAACCGUGUACGUACAAGCAGUGGGAGCACGCUUAGGCGUGUGACUGCGUACCUUUUGUAUAAUGGGUCAGCGACUUAUAUUCUGUAGCAAGGUUAACCGAAUAGGGGAGCCGAAGGGAAACCGAGUCUUAACUGGGCGUUAAGUUGCAGGGUAUAGACCCGAAACCCGGUGAUCUAGCCAUGGGCAGGUUGAAGGUUGGGUAACACUAACUGGAGGACCGAACCGACUAAUGUUGAAAAAUUAGCGGAUGACUUGUGGCUGGGGGUGAAAGGCCAAUCAAACCGGGAGAUAGCUGGUUCUCCCCGAAAGCUAUUUAGGUAGCGCCUCGUGAAUUCAUCUCCGGGGGUAGAGCACUGUUUCGGCAAGGGGGUCAUCCCGACUUACCAACCCGAUGCAAACUGCGAAUACCGGAGAAUGUUAUCACGGGAGACACACGGCGGGUGCUAACGUCCGUCGUGAAGAGGGAAACAACCCAGACCGCCAGCUAAGGUCCCAAAGUCAUGGUUAAGUGGGAAACGAUGUGGGAAGGCCCAGACAGCCAGGAUGUUGGCUUAGAAGCAGCCAUCAUUUAAAGAAAGCGUAAUAGCUCACUGGUCGAGUCGGCCUGCGCGGAAGAUGUAACGGGGCUAAACCAUGCACCGAAGCUGCGGCAGCGACACUAUGUGUUGUUGGGUAGGGGAGCGUUCUGUAAGCCUGUGAAGGUGUACUGUGAGGUAUGCUGGAGGUAUCAGAAGUGCGAAUGCUGACAUAAGUAACGAUAAAGCGGGUGAAAAGCCCGCUCGCCGGAAGACCAAGGGUUCCUGUCCAACGUUAAUCGGGGCAGGGUGAGUCGACCCCUAAGGCGAGGCCGAAAGGCGUAGUCGAUGGGAAACAGGUUAAUAUUCCUGUACUUGGUGUUACUGCGAAGGGGGGACGGAGAAGGCUAUGUUGGCCGGGCGACGGUUGUCCCGGUUUAAGCGUGUAGGCUGGUUUUCCAGGCAAAUCCGGAAAAUCAAGGCUGAGGCGUGAUGACGAGGCACUACGGUGCUGAAGCAACAAAUGCCCUGCUUCCAGGAAAAGCCUCUAAGCAUCAGGUAACAUCAAAUCGUACCCCAAACCGACACAGGUGGUCAGGUAGAGAAUACCAAGGCGCUUGAGAGAACUCGGGUGAAGGAACUAGGCAAAAUGGUGCCGUAACUUCGGGAGAA
This 1563-nucleotide ribosomal RNA is filed under the name Escherichia coli. Its description in RNAcentral is "partial 23S ribosomal RNA". It matches the Rfam family "Bacterial large subunit ribosomal RNA", at positions 139 to 1744 of the family's 2925-position model. The record is from RNAcentral. Lineage: Bacteria; Pseudomonadati; Pseudomonadota; Gammaproteobacteria; Enterobacterales; Enterobacteriaceae.